Molecule: non-coding RNA, 221 nt
Organism: Caenorhabditis elegans
Lineage: Eukaryota; Metazoa; Nematoda; Chromadorea; Rhabditida; Rhabditidae
Source: Ensembl
AAAUUGUAUUGCACAUCGACUGGAGACAUUCAGAACAAACUCUGAAAUUUCCGUCGUUAUGCAAGAAUCUAUUUUCCCGAGUCGGAAACCGUCAUAACUAUUAAAGUUGAUCCGGGGCAAAGACCGGGCACACAGUGGGAUUGAACCAGAGACCUGCUGACCGUUAGUCGCCAGUGUUCCCAACUGCGCCAUGAGUGCAGUUUCCCCCCACAACCUCUCAU